UACGUAGGGUGCGAGCGGUAAUCGGAUUUACUGGGCGUAAAGCGUGCGCAGGCGGCCCGUUAAGACAGGUGUGAAAUCCCUGGGCUCAACCCAGGAAUUGCGCUUGUGACUGGCGGGCUAGAGUUCGGGAGAGGGGGGUGGAAUUCCUGGUGUAGCAGUGAAAUGCGUAGAGAUCAGGAGGAACACCGAUGGCGAAGGCAGCCCCCUGGGCCUGUACUGACGCUCAUGCACGAAAGCGUGGGGAGCAAACAGU
This 253-nucleotide ribosomal RNA is filed under the name uncultured microorganism. RNAcentral describes it as "partial 16S ribosomal RNA". It matches the Rfam family "Bacterial small subunit ribosomal RNA", at positions 524 to 776 of the family's 1533-position model. The record is from RNAcentral.